Molecule: long non-coding RNA, 1708 nt
Organism: Humulus lupulus (European hop)
Lineage: Eukaryota; Viridiplantae; Streptophyta; Magnoliopsida; Rosales; Cannabaceae
Exons: 2
Source: RefSeq, a predicted model, not a curated record
UGAAAUUAUAUAUUUGAUAUAAGGAAAAAGCGUAGAACAGAUCCUACCACAGAAAUGUGAAAAGGAUAUUUUCUCUCUCAUUCUCUCUCUUCUCUUCUGCUUAUAUAAACCUCACAAGCAAUGAGAGUUAAUUAAGGAUACCACCACUACCAUUGAUAAAAUGAUGAUGAUGAGAAGCAAGGGAGCAUACAUAUACAAAUACAUAAAAGGGUACCAAUAUGUCGCCUUUAUCUGCGUUUGCACCUGCACCUUAACUGGUCUCUCUAUAUAUACUACUAUCUCUUCUUUUCUCUUGUUAUUAUAUAUUAUUAAUGGUGAAAAGGACAAUUAAGGUAGUAGAGUAGAGAUGAGGGAGCAUAUGGAUAAAGCUAGGUGCAGGUGCAGACGCAGGUGAAUGCCAUCUUGAAUUCAUUAACUACGAUUACUCGGACGGACCUCCUACUACUUCUUUCUCUCUUCAUAGUCAUCAUUUUCUGUGUUUCUGUUAAUAUUUCACGUUUCUUCUCUUUUUUUUAUUUUAGCGUAAAGAUAAUAACAAAUUGAUUUGUUAUUCCUUCUCAAUUUUUAAAAAUAUUUAGUUUAAUCAUAUUUUAUCUUAUGUUGUGUGUAAAUCUGUACUUAUAUAUAUUGUAGAAAAAUAACAGUCUGCGCACUGCAGGUUUUCCUCUCUAUAACACAAAAAAGUAACAUGGAUUCGAAACUACUCUUCUGCUAAUUGGUGGAGAAAAACGUAGGCACUUUGUGUUUUGGGGCCAGUUUUUUACAAUUAAUACAAACGGGGCUAUUUAGCUAAUGACCCUUCAAGGUAGAUCAAGUGUCCACUCACCUAUAGGUGUAAAGAUAGCAGCCUUGCGGACUUAGGCUCAUCAAGAAGGAAUUUGGGAAAAGAAUUCGACCCAAGAAACAGGAAAUGGCCGAAAAAUGAACAAGAAGAACAAACGACAAUGGGAAUGUAUGAAGAGAUGUACCAAGACAAUACUGGUGGGAAUGUAUGAAGAGAGAUGUGGCUAGCUUUGUAGCUAAGUGUAUGGCUUGUCAGCAGGUUAAAGCUGAGCACCAAAGACCCUCUGGUUUGCUUCAACCUUUGCCUAUACCAGAAUGGAAAUCGGACAAGAUCACGCUGGACCUUGUGACUGGAUUACCAUUGACACCAUUAAAGCAUGACACCGUCUGAGUGAUUGUCGAUUGUUUGACCAAAUCCACUUAUUUUAUUCAAAUUAGGACCGAUUAUAAGACUUGUAAACUAGCUUGACUUUAUAUGGAUAAUAUAGUUCGACAUCAUGGGUUACCUCCAAGCAUUGUUUAUUGUAGAGAUCCUCGAUUUACCUCAAGAUUUUGGCGAGCAUUGCAAAAAACUUUGGGGGAGUGAGCUUAACUUGAGCACCGUUCACCACCCUCUAAUAGAUGGACAGUCUGAGAGGACCAUCCAAACUUUGGAGGACAUGCUUCGUUAUUUUACUUUGGAGUUUAAAGGUAGCUGGGGAGAACACUUGUGUUUAGUAGAAUUCACUUAUAAUAAUUGCUACAGGUUAGUAUAGGCAUGGCUCCUUAUGAGGCCUUAUAUGGGAGACCAUGCAGAUCUCCCUUGUGUUGGGUAGAACUAGAUGAGUAUGAUAACUCUACAAAAUAGAGUUAUUUUACCACAUCUUUUAUGUUAAUUGUUGCUUAAUCUUUGAGUUUUUAAGUAAUUUAUUAAGUUUUUAAGUAA